CGAGUUGGUUAGGCAAUCGCUGGUUUAUUGAAGCCCUUAACGUCAGUUUACUGAAAUGAGUGGGACAAAUAGACGAGAGGAAAGUCCGAGCUACAUAGGGCAGAGUGCCAGAUAACGUCUGGGCGGCGUGAGCCGACGACAAGUGCAACAGAGAGAAGACCGCCUAUUUUUAGGUAAGGGUGAAAGGGUGCGGUAAGAGCGCACCGCAUAGCUGGUAACAGUUUAUGGCAAGGUAAACUCCACUCGUAGCAAGACCAAAUAGGAAUCCAAUGUGUUGCCCGCACAGGAUUCGGGUAGGUUGCUUGAGCGAUAAAGUGAUUUAUCGCCUAGAGGAAUGAUUGCCCACGACAGAACUCGGCUUAUCGACCAACUCAAAAA
RNAcentral lists this RNase P RNA (378 nucleotides) under Volucribacter psittacicida. RNAcentral describes it as "Bacterial RNase P class A". It matches the Rfam family "Bacterial RNase P class A". Rfam says of the family: Ribonuclease P (RNase P) is a ubiquitous endoribonuclease, found in archaea, bacteria and eukarya as well as chloroplasts and mitochondria. Its best characterised activity is the generation of mature 5'-ends of tRNAs by cleaving the 5'-leader elements of precursor-tRNAs. The record is from Rfam by way of RNAcentral. Lineage: Bacteria; Pseudomonadati; Pseudomonadota; Gammaproteobacteria; Pasteurellales; Pasteurellaceae.